UACGAAGGGGGCUAGCGUUGCUCGGAAUCACUGGGCGUAAAGCGCACGUAGGCGGCUUUCUAAGUCAGGGGUGAAAUCCUGGAGCUCAACUCCAGAACUGCCUUUGAUACUGGGAAGCUUGAGUCCGGAAGAGGUGAGUGGAACUGCGAGUGUAGAGGUGAAAUUCGUAGAUAUUCGCAAGAACACCAGUGGCGAAGGCGGCUCACUGGUCCGGUACUGACGCUGAGGUGCGAAAGCGUGGGGAGCAAACAGG
This 253-nucleotide ribosomal RNA is filed under the name uncultured bacterium. RNAcentral describes it as "partial 16S ribosomal RNA". It matches the Rfam family "Bacterial small subunit ribosomal RNA", at positions 524 to 776 of the family's 1533-position model. The record is from RNAcentral.